GAAGGAUCAUUACCACACCUAAAAACUUUCCACGUGAACCGUAUCAACCCAAUAAAUUGGGGGUAUGUUUGGUGGCGGCUGCUAGCAUUUUCUUA
This 95-nucleotide ribosomal RNA is filed under the name Peronospora sordida. RNAcentral describes it as "partial 18S ribosomal RNA". Lineage: Eukaryota; Oomycota; Peronosporomycetes; Peronosporales; Peronosporaceae. The record is from RNAcentral.